GUGGAUGUGCCUGGAGUGGUUAUCGGGAAUGACUAGAAAUCAUGUGGGUUUUGCCUGCGCAGUUCGAAUCCUCGCCAUUCACG
RNAcentral lists this transfer RNA (83 nucleotides) under Sphenostylis stenocarpa. RNAcentral's name for it is "tRNA gene-AYBTSS11_LOCUS24139". It matches the Rfam family "tRNA". Rfam says of the family: Transfer RNA (tRNA) molecules are approximately 80 nucleotides in length. The record is from RNAcentral. Lineage: Eukaryota; Viridiplantae; Streptophyta; Magnoliopsida; Fabales; Fabaceae.